AGUUCCACAAUGCAUUGUAUCUUGGAGAUGCUAAGAAAAGAGUUGAGAUCUUGGAGAAUGCAGGACAGCUACCUCUAGCAUAUGUGACUGCUGCCACUCAUGGGCUCACUGAAAUUGCUGAUAGGCUUGCUGGUGAGUUAGGUGAAGAUGUGCCUUCUCUACCUGAAGGGAAAACUAGAUCACUUUUAAUCCCUCCAGCACCUCUCACAUCCUGUGGUGAUUGGCCAUUGUUGAGGGUGAUGCGUGGUAUUUUUGAGGGUGGACUAGAUGCUACUGGGAGGGCAGAGCAGGAGGAAGAUUAUGAUGAUGCUGGUGGUGAUUGGGGUGAUGAAGACCUGGAAAUUGUUGAUGCAAGUGCUGUGAUAGAAAAUGGAGAUGCUGGCCAUGCCGAUGAAAGUGAAACAAAUGAAGAGGAUGGGGAAGAGGAAGGUGGCUGGGAC
This 440-nucleotide long non-coding RNA is filed under the name Hordeum vulgare. RNAcentral's name for it is "long non-coding RNA (HVUL_LNC011225)". The record is from RNAcentral. Lineage: Eukaryota; Viridiplantae; Streptophyta; Magnoliopsida; Poales; Poaceae.